Long non-coding RNA from Dromiciops gliroides (monito del monte), 385 nucleotides. RefSeq lists it as uncharacterized. The record is from RefSeq and is a predicted model, not a curated record. NCBI's taxonomy places the organism in Eukaryota, Metazoa, Chordata, Mammalia, Microbiotheria, Microbiotheriidae. The transcript is spliced from 2 exons.
CUAGUUAAAGGACAGAUCCUGAGAGAGUUCAUGGAAACCUUGGUAACAGGACCCAAUCCUUUCUGCAUCGAAAGAACAGUCCAAUUCAGUUGGGCAUUCAGUAUCACAGGGACUGGGAGAGUAGUGAGGGGUGGAAAUUUCCUAACCAAUGGGGAAUGAGCAGUAGUGGAUGGGAAGAAGUCUGCCGAUGACAGAAGGUGGCCUCAAUGAAAAAGCCAUCCAAUGAAGAGUCUCCUCGGAGAGACUCCUAGUCUCUGGCUUCUAACCAGUUGACCAUCAUGGCCAACAGAGAAGGAGGGAAGAUGCACUUAAAUGAAUCCAUCAUGUCCUUGGUAAAGGUUCCUUCUCUGCUAAUGCUAAAUAAAGCUCAUUUUGUUAACUGUUA